This 433-nucleotide ribosomal RNA is filed under the name uncultured bacterium. RNAcentral describes it as "partial 16S ribosomal RNA". It matches the Rfam family "Bacterial small subunit ribosomal RNA", at positions 29 to 507 of the family's 1533-position model. The record is from RNAcentral.
AACGAACGCUGGCGGCAUGCCUAACACAUGCAAGUCGAACGAGACCUUCGGGUCUUGUGGCGCACGGGUGCGUAACGCGUGGGAACCUGCCCUUAGGUUCGGAAUAACUCCCCGAAAGGGGUGCUAAUACCGGACAAUGUCUUCGGACCAAAGAUUUAUCGACUUUGGAUGGGCCCGCGUUGGAUUAGCUCGUUGGUAGGGUAAAAGCCUACCAAGGCGACCAUCCAUAGCUGGUCUGAGAGGAUGAUCAGCCACACUGGGACUGAGACACGGCCCAGACUCCUACGGGAGGCAGCAGUGGGGAAUAUUGGACAAUGGGCGAAAGCCUGAUCCAGCAAUGCCGCGUGAGUGAUGAAGGCCGUAGGGUUGUAAAGCUCUUUUACCCGGGAUGAUAAUGACAGUACCGGGAGAAUAAGCUCCGGCUAACUCCGUG